GCAUGUAUGUAUGUAUGUAUAUGCAUGUAUGUAUAUGCAUGUAUGCAUGUAUGCAUGUAUGCAUGUAUGCAUGUAUGCAUGCAUGUAUGCAUGUAUGCAUGUAUGCAUGUAUGCAUGUAUGCAUGUAUGCAUGUAUGCAUGUAUGCAUGUAUGCAUGUAUGCAUGUAUGC
Paramuricea clavata is the source of this 170-nucleotide non-coding RNA. NCBI's taxonomy places the organism in Eukaryota, Metazoa, Cnidaria, Anthozoa, Malacalcyonacea, Plexauridae. The record is from the annotation of a GenBank genome assembly.